Molecule: ribosomal RNA, 309 nt
Filed under: uncultured Pseudomonadota bacterium
Lineage: Bacteria; Pseudomonadati; Pseudomonadota
Description: bacterial SSU rRNA
Rfam family: Bacterial small subunit ribosomal RNA
Source: RNAcentral
AACGAACGCUGGCGGCAGGCUUAACACAUGCAAGUCGAGCGAGGCCUUCGGGUCUAGCGGCGGACGGGUGAGUAACGCGUGGGAACGUGCCCUCUUCUUCGGAAUAGCCCUGGGAAACUGGGAGUAAUGCCGAAUACGCCGAGCCAUAGAGAUAUGGUUUGGGAAAGAUUUAUCGGAGGAGGAUCGGCCCGCGUUGGAUUAGGUAGUUGGUGGGGUAAUGGCCUACCAAGCCGACGAUCCAUAGCUGGUUUGAGAGGAUGACCAGCCACACUGGGACUGAGACACGGCCCAGACUCCUACGGGAGGCAG